GUUGUUGGGUAGGGGAGCGUUCUGUAAGCCGUUGAAGGUGUGCUGUGAGGCAUGCUGGAGGUAUCAGAAGUGCGAAUGCUGACAUAAGUAACGAUAAAGCGGGUGAAAAGCCCGCUCGCCGGAAGACCAAGGGUUCCUGUCCAACGUUAAUCGGGGCAGGGUGAGUCGACCCCUAAGGCGAGGCCGAAAGGCGUAGUCGAUGGGAAACAGGUUAAUAUUCCUGUACUUGGUGUUACUGCGAAGGGGGGACGGAGAAGGCUAUGUCAGCCGGGCGACGGUUGUCCCGGUUUAAGCAUGUAGGCGGAGGUUCCAGGUAAAUCCGGUACCUUUUAACGCUGAGGUGUGAUGACGAGGCACUACGGUGCUGAAGUGAUAAAUGCCCUGCUUCCAGGAAAAGCCUCUAAGCAUCAGGUAACACGAAAUCGUACCCCAAACCGACACAGGUGGUCAGGUAGAGAAUACCAAGGCGCUUGAGAGAACUCGGGUGAAGGAACUAGGCAAAAUGGUGCCGUAACUUCGGGAGAAGGCACGCUGAUGUGUAGGUGAAGCCCCUGCGGGUGGAGCUGAAAUCAGUCGAAGAUACCAGCUGGCUGCAACUGUUUAUUAAAAACACAGCACUGUGCAAACACGAAAGUGGACGUAUACGGUGUGACGCCUGCCCGGUGCCGGAAGGUUAAUUGAUGGGGUUAGCGGCAACGCGAAGCUCUUGAUCGAAGCCCCGGUAAACGGCGGCCGUAACUAUAACGGUCCUAAGGUAGCGAAAUUCCUUGUCGGGUAAGUUCCGACCUGCACGAAUGGCGUAAUGAUGGCCAGGCUGUCUCCACCCGAGACUCAGUGAAAUUGAACUCGCUGUGAAGAUGCAGUGUACCCGCGGCAAGACGGAAAGACCCCGUGAACCUUUACUAUAGCUUGACACUGAACACUGGUCCUUGAUGUGUAGGAUAGGUGGGAGGCUUUGAAGCGUGGACGCCAGUCUGCGUGGAGCCAACCUUGAAAUACCACCCUUUAAUGGCUGGUGUUCUAACGUAGACCCGUAAUCCGGGUUGCGGACAGUGUCUGGUGGGUAGUUUGACUGGGGCGGUCUCCUCCCAAAGAGUAACGGAGGAGCACGAAGGUUGGCUAAUCCUGGUCGGACAUCAGGAGGUUAGUGCAAUGGCAUAAGCCAGCUUGACUGCGAGCGUGACGGCGCGAGCAGGUGCGAAAGCAGGUCAUAGUGAUCCGGUGGUUCUGAAUGGAAGGGCCAUCGCUCAACGGAUAAAAGGUACUCCGGGGAUAACAGGCUGAUACCGCCCAAGAGUUCAUAUCGACGGCGGUGUUUGGCACCUCGAUGUCGGCUCAUCACAUCCUGGGGCUGAAGUAGGUCCCAAGGGUAUGGCUGUUCGCCAUUUAAAGUGGUACGCGAGCUGGGUUUAGAACGUCGUGAGACAGUUCGGUCCCUAUCUGCCGUGGGCGCUGGAGAAUUGAGGGGGGCUGCUCCUAGUACGAGAGGACCGGAGUGGACGCAUCACUGGUGUUCGGGUUGUCAUGCCAAUGGCACUGCCCGGUAGCUAAAUGCGGAAGAGAUAAGUGCUGAAAGCAUCUAAGCACGAAACUUGCCCCGAGAUGAGUUCUCCCUGAGAC
RNAcentral lists this ribosomal RNA (1620 nucleotides) under Enterobacter hormaechei. RNAcentral describes it as "partial 23S ribosomal RNA". It matches the Rfam family "Bacterial large subunit ribosomal RNA", at positions 1220 to 2821 of the family's 2925-position model. The record is from RNAcentral. Lineage: Bacteria; Pseudomonadati; Pseudomonadota; Gammaproteobacteria; Enterobacterales; Enterobacteriaceae. RNAcentral also lists the same sequence under 2 other names.